UUCACAUCUCUUGUACUUGGGCUUUGUGGAACAUUUUCAAGCUUUGGGUCUAUAGUUUUCUUCAAACUUGGAAAAUUUUUGGCAUUAGUUUCUUCAAAUAAUUUUUUGUCACCUACUCUCUUUCAGAAGCUCAAAUUACAUGAGUAUUGGGCCAUUUGAAGUUGUCCCACAGCUCUUUUAAUUUUUAGUAAGCCUCUGCCUCUGGACUGUGAACUUCACAAGUGUUUCUUAGUUUUUUUCUCCUCCCUCCUCUUUAGGUGGGACAGGAUGGCUGGAGUGGGCUGGAGUUGGGUAUUUCCCUUCCUUCAGGUCAGUUAGGCUCUAAUAAUAUCCACCUGGUUAGGCUCUGUUAACUAGUUUCUCUUGAGGGCAGGCCUUAUUAAGAAGAGUGCUCUGGGAUGUUUAAAAAUGGUUCCUUUUCCUCUCUCCAUUCUAGACGUCUGAUGAGAUUUUUGUCAGCUAUUUACUGUGAGAACCUGGACGAGCUCCUGGAGGAAGAUCAAAGUGGUGUUUAGAGAAUGAUCAUGAAGUGAAUGCUGACUCCUUUCACGCCGUGACGAGUGUGAUGACUAAACAGGGGAGAAGACACUGAGUGCUGGGAGACGAAGAAACUGAAGCAGAAGGAAGGUAAAUGACUUACCUCAGGUCACACAGCUAAGGAGUGGGUAAGCUGGAAUCUGAACCCAGGAACCCUGGCUGCUCUGGAGCGAUUGAUACCCAGGAUAUGGUGAAGAAAGCCACUAUUCCAAUUUCCAGUUCCAGUUCCCUUCACACCCAGAUGUGCUUUGUUUCUUAUCUUGGAUUUUGUGCGGGUGUAUGUUAUAUGAUACAGCCUCCUUUUGUUGACCUAAUUUAAAUACACUUACAUUUGUUUCAUCAAAAAUAGCCUUAAUGAGACCUGCCAAAUUUUACUUAAAAAAAAAGUUCUAAUGUACCCUCUAAUUGGAAUGCCUUUUCCACCAUAUUUAUCUGUUGAAAUUGUACUAAUACUUCAUGAUCUAGCUCAAGUACUGCUUAUUUGUGGCUUUUCUGAAUUCCAGCUCCAAAUUAGCAUUGUUUUUCCUCCUCUUUGUUCUUAGUGCACUUCUCAGUCUAUUCAAGGACUUGAGAAUUUCUAGUUUUGAUAUUGUAAGUUCUGUACAUAUUUUCCAUAAUAUUACUUUGAACCAUAUGAAAUUGUCAACCUUCAAGUAUUUUCAAUUUAGGAAAAUGGCAAUUUCAUGUGGUUCAAUUUAAUAUAUUGGAAGGAAACUGAUUGACCCAGAGGUAGCUUAAUGAUCUUUUCACCCUGAAUAUCUGGUAGAUAGUAAGGUCUCAAUAAAUUUUGAUGGAAUUAACUAUUUCUGAGGAAUAAAAUCUUAGUAACUUGGCAGAAUUUUCCCCAAAUAUUCUCCUGGGGAUAAUAAAGUGUUCAGUAGAAGAAAUCCACCAUUCUCCCUGUUUUCUACUUCUGACAUUGUGUCCAUUUCCCCUACCCCCCCCCAAAAAAACCCCUAAAAGUAGUUAUUCAGUGUUCUGUGUGUGGAUAACCAAAACUGGAGACUUUAAUUUGUCUGCACAAGAUAAAACAAGUUCACAUUUACUAAAAGUACAUUUAUAAGGAUUUUUGAACUGUUGUUUUCUAGUAGUGUCCUGGUAAAUGGGUCAGAUUAUUACAAAUAAACAAGGUCCCAGUCUCUGAAGUUUAUGGAAUAGUGAGGGACCGCAUAUAAGUGCAGUUCUUGGAAAGGUCAGAAGAAUGGCACUUAUCAUGGGAGAUUUCACAAAGAAGUGGCUGAGUAGGAGUUAGUCAGAACUGGAAGGAAUAUGGGGUGUUGUCUUGCAUAAUAUUAUAGGCAGAGUGAAUAAAGAGCUUAUGAAAGCUUGGGAGAGUUGCAAAUAGAACCAUGUAGAUAGAAUAUAUGGGAUGCAGGGUGAGUUGGGGGAAAUGACAAAGAGGAGUCACUUGAACAUUUUAUGUAGGGUAUUAACAUUGCCAGAUUUGUGCUUUCUAAAGGUAAAAAAGAAAUGAGAAUGUAGAAACUGCUGAGUUAAAUGAACUGACCACUCUGACUAUAUUGCAAAGAAGGAUGAAAAGAGAGCUAGGGAGACCAGGUAGGUGAUUACUGCUAUGAUCUGAGCAAGGGCGAUGAGGAUCUUGAAUAAAGAUGUGGUCACUGAAACCAUUUGGAAAGUGGAUUCAAAUAAUAUAGGAAAGUAGAAUUGAUAGGAAUUGGAGAUCACUCAGAGUCUGGGAGUAAUCCCAUUUUUUGUUUUCUGCCAAUUAUAUCUAAGUAAUUUUUUUAUUUAAAAUAGGCAUGGAUCAUUUUGAGGUCAACUUAGUUGUGAAUGAUCCUUGCAACAAAGUCUUCUGUGAACUGAAUACUUUAUUCAAAAUAUGUAUACGUAGCCCAGAAUAAAUUGUUGCUUCUCCGGAGGCACUCUUGAAUGAAGUUUUAUAUAAAUUAAACAUUUCGUGAUGAUGAGCAAAACACACAUCAAAUUAAAACAUGCAACAAUAUUAAUUAAACAGAGGAAAGUUGUAAAUUGGUGUUGGCAUGCAUCUUCACUUUCAUUUAUUUUUAUGAAACUGCAUUAUUAAUGUUUCUUUUAAAAAUGAAUGAUGAAAUAGCAUUUUGUCAUUAAAAUAUGUGUGUCAAGCCUGCUGUCGUCAAAGAAGGUGAUUAUGCCACUGUUAUCAGAAACAAGCUGAGCCUGGAAGAGGCUUGUUUUGUCAGCUUCAUGUUUUGUUUUGUUUGUUUUUUUGAAUUAGCAGUAUGUAAUACUCAGAAAAAGGUGUUUUGUAUUUAUAUUUUUUGGCCUUUCAUUUGGUUGAAGUUGAAUAGCUUUUCUUAAAGAAUUAAAAACUUAAUUUCUUUACAACCAUUAAAGGAUAUUUGUCUUAAAAAAUCA
Equus caballus (horse) is the source of this 2892-nucleotide long non-coding RNA. The record is from Ensembl. NCBI's taxonomy places the organism in Eukaryota, Metazoa, Chordata, Mammalia, Perissodactyla, Equidae.